CUUUACGAAGAUUUACUUGGAUGUGAAGCUGUAUCAAAAGUUGGGUGGUUAUGUCCACAAGAGAUUCGUGGUGACAAUUGCUUGAAGAACCGUGCUGAAGCGAGUGAGUAAGUUGAAAGGAGUAUUACCGCAUGUGUUCGAUCUAAAGCUAACUAUAUUAUUGCCCCAUACCUUGAAGAGUAUGUUUUAGUACCUAGUUGAUAAUGUCUUUUCAUAAUACUAUUUUGGAUAACUAUUGUUGGUAUACAUAUGAUUGUCGAACUUAAUUUUUUGUUGUAGUCUCCAUUGGAUGCUCUUGAUAAUAUCUCCUUCAACUCACACAAUAUACCAUUUUGAUUCUAUGCGUCAAGAACCACCCCGAGGCUUACUAAUCAAAAACAUAUUGAAUAGUGUGAUGAAAAGAUUACGUGGAUGUGGUCCAAGAAGAGCCACACUUCCUCAAUGGAAAUCAGUGAAGUGCGCACAACAACAAGAUGGAGUUGCUUGCGGCUAUUACGUGAUGAGGUUUAUGUUCGAUAUACUUACUUGUUGCACGAAAGUCGAUAAUCUUGAGAAGGUUCGUAACAUUCCG
Beta vulgaris subsp. vulgaris (sugar beet) is the source of this 571-nucleotide long non-coding RNA. RefSeq lists it as uncharacterized. The transcript has 3 exons. Lineage: Eukaryota; Viridiplantae; Streptophyta; Magnoliopsida; Caryophyllales; Amaranthaceae. The record is from RefSeq and is a predicted model, not a curated record.